AAAACUGGGGGGAUGACCUGUGGAUAGGGGUGAAAGGCCAAUCAAACACCGUGAUAGCUGGUUCUCCCCGAAAUGCAUUUAGGUGCAGCGUCGCGUGUUUCGUGCUGGAGGUAGAGCACUGUUUGGAUACGGGGGCCUACAAGCUUACCAACUUCAGACAAACUCCGAAUGCCAGUACGUCACCAGCGCGGCAGUGAGACUGCGGGGGAUAAGCUCCGUGGUCGAGAGGGAAACAGCCCAGAUCGCCAGCUAAGGUCCCUAAAUCAUGGCUAAGUGGUAAAGGAUGUGGGACGUCCCAGACAACCAGGAGGUUGGCUUAGAAGCAGCCACCCUUUAAAGAGUGCGUAAUAGCUCACUGGUCAAGAAGUCCCGCGCCGACAAUGUAACGGGGCUAAGCCAUGUACCGAAGCUGCGGCAUCGUGUCAUGAACGCGAAAGCGGACACGUUGGGUAGGGGAGCGUUGAUACUCGAGUGAAGCGGCGGGGGAACCCAGCCGUGGACGUGUAUCAAGAGCGAAUGCCGGCAUGAGUAGCGAAAGAGGGGGGAGGAACCCCUCCGCCGAAUGUCCAAGGGUUCCUGGGGAAGGUUCAUCCGCCCAGGGUAAGUCGGGACCUAAGGCGAGGCCGACAGGCGUAGUCGAUGGACAACAGGUUGAUAUUCCUGUACCGGCUUUAAGCCGCCAAAAGCCGAACCCGGUUUGCUAAGGAAACCCCUUCGGGGGCUACCGACCCAACCGGUACUAGGCUAGCGAUGGGGUGACGCAGGAGGGUAUGGCAUCCCCGGCGAUGGUUGUCCGGGGGUAAGUAUGUAGGCCGUGGUCCAGGCAAAUCCGGGCCACACGAGGCUGAGAUACGACGCCGACACGAAAAGUGGAAGUGCCAAGUCCCAUGCUGCCAAGAAAAGCCUCUAGCGAGGAUUAGAGCCGCCCGUACCCCAAACCGACUCAGGUGGACAGGUAGAGAAUACCGAGGCGAUCGAGUGAACCCUGGUUAAGGAACUCGGCAAAUUUGCCCCGUAACUUCGGGAGAAGGGGUGCCCUUCGCGGUGUAGGACGACACGUCCGAAGCCGCAGGGGGCCGCAGUGACCAGGCCCAAGCGACUGUUUACUAAAAACACAGGUGCAUGCGAAGUCGUAAGACGAGGUAUAUGCACUGACGCCUGCCCGGUGCUGGAACGUUACGCGGAGAGGUUAGCCUUACGGCGACGCCUUGAAGCUAAGCGCCAGUAAACGGCGGCCGUAACUAUAACGGUCCUAAGGUAAUGUGCCCUGCGUGCACAGGGCGUUGCCCUCCGUCACCGUGAGGUGGCGGAUGCAGUUGGCUAUAUGCUGGAAACUCCGAGGAUCCGGCGGUACCUAUUGUCGCAACCCGUAUGGAGGGUGUGUGGCAGGGUGACAAUCCGUCCGGUGCGGACAAUCAGCAGGAAAGGCCAGGCUUCGAGCAGUGGGUCGUCGGCUUCGUUGACGGCGAAAGCUGCUUCUCGAUCAGUGUCGGCGCAACUCGGGGUGCAGUCUCGGCUGGCAGUUCCAGCACGAGUUCUCGGUAUCCCAGGCUGAGCCGUCACGUCAUGCGCUGGAGCUCCUCUAGGGAGUACUUCGGCGUGCGUACAUUGAUCGGGAACAGCCGGCACGACAACCAUCGCAGUGCGAUGUGGCGUUUCUCUGUGAAGCGCCGCAGCGACCUCGUGGGGGUCGUUGUCCGUUUUUCGAAAACCACCCGCUGGUGACUGCCAAGGCCAUGGACUUCCGCCGGCUUUCCCGAGUGCUGCAGCUCAUGCAGCAGGGGGAACAUCUCGGCGAGGUCGGCCUGCGGCGGAUCGCUGCUCUCACCGAGCAGAUGAACCGUCGCGCGCGGUCUCGAUACCUGGAAUCCUCAGAGGCCAUACGCCAACCAUGUCGGUCCGACACCGACAUGAAGAUAUGGUCCUAGCCUCAUGGCGACAUGGGGGCUCUCUAGAGCGAAAUUCCUUGUCGGGUAAGUUCCGACCUGCACGAAUGGCGUAACGACUUGGGCGCUGUCUCAACCAGGGACUCGGCGAAAUUGCACUACGAGUAAAGAUGCUCGUUACGCGCAGCAGGACGGAAAGACCCCGGGACCUUUACUGCAAUUUGAUGUUGGGACUUGGUGUUGUUUGUGCAGGAUAGGUGGGAGGCUUUGAAGCGUGGACGCCAGUUCGCGUGGAGCCAACCUUGGAAUACCACCCUGACAGCAUUGGGUUUCUAACCUCGGUCCGUGAUCCGGAUCAGGGACAGCGUCUGAUGGGCAGUUUAACUGGGGCGGUUGCCUCCUAAAAUGUAACGGAGGCGCUCAAAGGUUCCCUCAGGCUGGUUAGCAAUCAGCCUUCGAGUGUAAGGGCACAAGGGAGCUUGACUGCGAGACUGACAGGUCGAGCAGGUGCGAAAGCAGGACCUAGUGAUCCGGCGGUGGCAAGUGGGAGCGCCGUCGCUUAACGGCUAAAAGGUACCCCGGGGAUAACAGGCUUAUCUUCCCCAAGAGUCCAUAUCGACGGGAAGGUUUGGCACCUCGAUGUCGGCUCGCCGCAUCCUGGGGCUGGAGUAGGUCCCAAGGGUUGGGCUGUUCGCCCAUUAAAGCGGUACGCGAGCUGGGUUUAGAACGUCGUGAGACAGUUCGGUCCCUAUCCGCUGCGCGCGCAGGAAAUUUGAGAAGGGCUGUCCUUAGUACGAGAGGACCGGGACGGACGAACCUCUGGUGUGUCAGUUGUACUGCCAAGUGCACCGCUGAUUAGCUACGUUCGGAUGGGAUAACCGCUGAAAGCAUCUAAGCGGGAAGCUCGCUUCGAGAUGAGAUUUCCAUACACCUUGUGUGUGAGAGGCCCCCAGCCAGACCACUGGGUUGAUAGGCCGGAUGUGGAAGCGAGGACUAACGACUCGUGAAGCUGACCGGUACUAAUAGGCCGAUAACUUACACCACACA
RNAcentral lists this ribosomal RNA (2933 nucleotides) under Rubrobacter sp. Its description in RNAcentral is "partial 23S ribosomal RNA". It matches the Rfam family "Bacterial large subunit ribosomal RNA", at positions 792 to 2925 of the family's 2925-position model. The record is from RNAcentral. Lineage: Bacteria; Bacillati; Actinomycetota; Rubrobacteria; Rubrobacterales; Rubrobacteraceae.